RNAcentral lists this ribosomal RNA (586 nucleotides) under Herbaspirillum lusitanum. Its description in RNAcentral is "bacterial SSU rRNA". It matches the Rfam family "Bacterial small subunit ribosomal RNA", at positions 338 to 917 of the family's 1533-position model. Lineage: Bacteria; Pseudomonadati; Pseudomonadota; Betaproteobacteria; Burkholderiales; Oxalobacteraceae. The record is from RNAcentral.
CCUACGGGAGGCAGCAGUGGGGAAUUUUGGACAAUGGGCGCAAGCCUGAUCCAGCAAUGCCGCGUGUGUGAAGAAGGCCUUCGGGUUGUAAAGCACUUUUGUCAGGGAAGAAACGGAUUGGGUUAAUACCCUGGUCUAAUGACGGUACCUGAAGAAUAAGCACCGGCUAACUACGUGCCAGCAGCCGCGGUAAUACGUAGGGUGCAAGCGUUAAUCGGAAUUACUGGGCGUAAAGCGUGCGCAGGCGGUUAUAUAAGUCAGAUGUGAGAUCCCCGGGCUCAACCUGGGCACUGCAUUUGAGACUGUAUGGCUAGAGUGUGUCAGAGGGGGGUAGAAUUCCACGUGUAGCAGUGAAAUGCGUAGAUAUGUGGAGGAAUGCCGAUGGCGAAGGCAGCCCCCUGGGAUAACACUGACGCUCAUGCACGAAAGCGUGGGGAGCAAACAGGAUUAGAUACCCUGGUAGUCCACGCCCUAAACGAUGUCUACUAGUUGUCGGGUCUUAAUUGACUUGGUAACGCAGCUAACGCGUGAAGUAGACCGCCUGGGGAGUACGGUCGCAAGAUUAAAACUCAAAGGAAUUGACGGA